Molecule: ribosomal RNA, 497 nt
Filed under: uncultured bacterium
Lineage: Bacteria
Description: partial 16S ribosomal RNA
Rfam family: Bacterial small subunit ribosomal RNA
Source: RNAcentral
GAUGAACGCUGGCGGCGUGCCUAAUACAUGCAAGUCGAGCGAACACAUCAGGACCUUGCUCCUCUGACGUUAUCGCCCGACGGGUGAGUAACAUGUGUAUAACCUACCUAUCAGACUGGGAUAACUUCGGGAAACCGUAGCUUAUACCCGAUAAUUUAUUGCACUGCAUUGUUCAAUAGUGAAAUUCGGUUUUUCUGUCACUUAUAGCUGUAUCCGCGCCGCAUUAGCUAGUUGGUAAGGUAACGGCUUACCAAGGCAACGAUGGGUAGCCGACCUGAGAGGGAGGUCGGACAGACGGGAAGAGAGACAGGGCCCAGACUCCUAGGGGAGGCAGCAGUAGGGAAUUUUACGCAAGGGGGGAAAGGGUGACGGAGGAAAGCGGGGGGAGGGAUGAAGGAGUACGGAUGGGAAAGCUCUGUUAGUAGGGGAGAAGAAAAGUGUAAGUAACUAGGAAGGUAAUGACGGUACCGAGAGAGAAAGCAACGGCUAACUACGUG